UUUUUUUUUAUGAUAAACCCUAUCGGCUGAUCCGGCCAGCCUCGGUAGAAACGCACUGAAGUACUUCAGAGUCAACUUCUUCCGAAGGACCACCACACUGUAUGUCCCGAGAUUGGAAUGCUUUCCGACUAAUGGUAGGAGGUAAUAAGGUCGCCUGCAUUUCUGACUACCAGAUAAACCAAUUGGGGCAAAGCUCAACUGACAGACUUCCCAAAUAAAGUUGUAUACUUCUUAUAAGUACAAUAAUUAAAGUUGCUAAGCCCAAACAAUUCAUGUGAUGGUCAAGUCUUAAAAUUUCAUGGGAAAUUCCGUCAAAAUUACCUUUAUUUUCUUGUAAUUAAUGAUAU
This 347-nucleotide small RNA is filed under the name Arabidopsis thaliana (thale cress). RNAcentral describes it as "ATSL016440". The record is from RNAcentral. Lineage: Eukaryota; Viridiplantae; Streptophyta; Magnoliopsida; Brassicales; Brassicaceae.